GUCCUGAUGACAUCAUUGGCGCCAUAGCUUAGCUUUAACUGGGAUUCUGAGCUGUCAGUUGCCUAGCAGCUGAUCUGGGCCGACUCUCAAAGGUAACACAUACCCUGGUCCAGGUUAAAACCGGUCUUCAGCUGACCCUUUCAAGGGUUUAGUCUAGAUGUCUCAUCUGAAAUGAGUCCUGCAAUCAUAUUCAGCACUCCUAAAGCAUGCUGUGAUUUCCAAUAUGCUGCAUUCAAGGCUGACUUAAGAACGGUCUGCUUUGAACUAUAUCACCAGAGCAAGUUUUUCAAAAU
Long non-coding RNA from Carcharodon carcharias (great white shark), 293 nucleotides. RefSeq lists it as uncharacterized. The record is from RefSeq and is a predicted model, not a curated record. Lineage: Eukaryota; Metazoa; Chordata; Chondrichthyes; Lamniformes; Lamnidae. The transcript is spliced from 3 exons.